RNAcentral lists this ribosomal RNA (440 nucleotides) under uncultured bacterium. Its description in RNAcentral is "partial 16S ribosomal RNA". It matches the Rfam family "Bacterial small subunit ribosomal RNA", at positions 338 to 795 of the family's 1533-position model. The record is from RNAcentral.
CCUACGGGCGGCUGCAGUGGGGAAUAUUGCACAAUGGGGGAAACCCUGAUGCAGCGACGCCGCGUGAGCGAGGAAGUAUUUCGGUAUGUAAAGCUCUAUCAGCAGGGAAGAAAAUGACGGUACCUGACUAAGAAGCCCCGGCUAACUACGUGCCAGCAGCCGCGGUAAUACGUAGGGGGCAAGCGUUAUCCGGAUUUACUGGGUGUAAAGGGAGCGUAGACGGCUAUGCAAGUCAGAAGUGAAAGCCCGGGGCUCAACCUCGGGACUGCAUUUGGAACUGAGUAGCUAGAGUGCAGGAGAGGCAAGCGGAAUUCCUAGUGUAGCGGUGAAAUGCGUAGAUAUUAGGAGGAACACCAGUGGCGAAGGCGGCUUACUGGACUGUAACUGACGUUGAGGCUCGAAAGCGUGGGGAGCAAACAGGAUUAGAUACCCUUGUAGUC